RNAcentral lists this ribosomal RNA (127 nucleotides) under Mustela putorius furo (domestic ferret). The record is from RNAcentral. Lineage: Eukaryota; Metazoa; Chordata; Mammalia; Carnivora; Mustelidae.
GUCUACGGCCAUACCACCCUGAACGCGCCCGAUCUCGUCUGAUCUCGGAAGCUAAGCAGGGUCGGGCCUGGCUAGUAGUUGGAUGGGAAAAUAACCCAGUUCUAAUGACAAAAUUCAGGGAUGGACA